UGGGGAAUAUUGGACAAUGGGCGAAAGCCUGAUCCAGCCAUGCCGCGUGUGUGAAGAAGGUCUUCGGAUUGUAAAGCACUUUAAGUUGGGAGGAAGGGCAUUAACCUAAUACGUUAGUGUUUUGACGUUACCGACAGAAUAAGCACCGGCUAACUCUGUGCCAGCAGCCGCGGUAAUACAGAGGGUGCAAGCGUUAAUCGGAAUUACUGGGCGUAAAGCGCGCGUAGGUGGUUUGUUAAGUUGGAUGUGAAAUCCCCGGGCUUAACCUGGGAACUGCAUUCAAAACUGACUGACUAGAGUAUGGCAGAGGGUGGUGGAAUUUCCUGUGUAGCGGUGAAAUGCGUAGAUAUAGGAAGGAACACCAGUGGCGAAGGCGACCACCUGGACUAAUACUGACACUGAGGUGCGAAAGCGUGGGGAGCAAACA
Molecule: ribosomal RNA, 427 nt
Filed under: uncultured bacterium
Lineage: Bacteria
Description: partial 16S ribosomal RNA
Rfam family: Bacterial small subunit ribosomal RNA
Source: RNAcentral